GAGCUCAGAUGGCAGAGCACGAGACUCAAUCUUGGGGGCUUGGGUUCGAUUCCCAUGUUGGACA
Molecule: non-coding RNA, 64 nt
Organism: Podarcis lilfordi (Lilford's wall lizard)
Lineage: Eukaryota; Metazoa; Chordata; Lepidosauria; Squamata; Lacertidae
Source: the annotation of a GenBank genome assembly